AGUUGUGUACAAUGUAUUACCCUGAAGAUCAAAUUAAAAGCAAUCUAAUUAUGCAGGUUAAGACAGUAUUAGUAGAUCGAAAGUAGAUUUUUAUCAAAGAUCAGUUUACUAAUUCUCAAAACAGAUACAUGCAUAGGAUUCCUCCCACUGAAUGAGUUUCAUCAUAAAAGGAUAAAACUCCUAUACUGCAGAAAUCUCCUAUAUUCUCAAGACUUUGUCAUAAAGGAACACAGCUGGCUUAAGAAAUUAAUGGGUAUCA
This 259-nucleotide unclassified non-coding RNA is filed under the name Hevea brasiliensis (rubber tree). Lineage: Eukaryota; Viridiplantae; Streptophyta; Magnoliopsida; Malpighiales; Euphorbiaceae. The record is from RNAcentral.